GUGCAGCAGUCGAGAAUUUUUCUCAAUGGGCGAAAGCCUGAAGGAGCGACGCCGCGUGGAGGAUGAAGGCCUUCGGGUUGUAACUCCUGUCAUUUGAGAACAAGUGUCGGCAAGUAACUACUGCCGACUUGAUAGUAUCAGAAGAGGAAGGGACGGCUAACUCUGUGCCAGCAGCCGCGGUAAUACAGAGGUCCCAAGCGUUGUUCGGAUUCAUUGGGCGUAAAGGGUGCGUAGGUGGCGCCAUAAGUCAGGUGUGAAAUUUCGGAGCUUAACUCCGAAACUGCAUUUGAUACUGUGGUGCUUGAGGACUGGAGAGGAGACUGGAAUUUACGGUGUAGCAGUGAAAUGCGUAGAGAUCGUAAGGAAGACCAGUGGCGAAGGCGGGUCUCUGGACAGUUCCUGACACUGAGGCACGAAGGCCAGGGGAGCAAACGGGAUUAGGAUACCCCGGUAGU
RNAcentral lists this ribosomal RNA (455 nucleotides) under uncultured organism. Its description in RNAcentral is "bacterial SSU rRNA". It matches the Rfam family "Bacterial small subunit ribosomal RNA", at positions 346 to 794 of the family's 1533-position model. The record is from RNAcentral.